AACGAACGCUGGCGGCAGGCCUAACACAUGCAAGUCGAGCGAGGACUUCGGUUCUAGCGGCGGACGGGUGAGUAACGCGUGGGAAUGUGCCCUUCUCUACGGAAUAGCCCUGGGAAACUGGGAGUAAUACCGUAUACGCCCUAUUGGGGAAAGAUUUAUCGGAGAAGGAUCAGCCCGCGUUGGAUUAGGUAGUUGGUGGGGUAAUGGCCUACCAAGCCGACGAUCCAUAGCUGGUUUGAGAGGAUGAUCAGCCACACUGGGACUGAGACACGGCCCAGACUCCUACGGGAGGCAGCAGUGGGGAAUCUUAGACCAUGGGGGCAACCCUGAUCUAGCCAUGCCGCGUGAGUGAUGAAGGCCUUAGGGUUGUAAAGCUCUUUCAGCUGGGAAGAUAAUGACGGUACCAGAAGAAGAAGCCCCGGCUAACUCCGUG
This 433-nucleotide ribosomal RNA is filed under the name uncultured bacterium. Its description in RNAcentral is "partial 16S ribosomal RNA". It matches the Rfam family "Bacterial small subunit ribosomal RNA", at positions 29 to 507 of the family's 1533-position model. The record is from RNAcentral.